RNAcentral lists this ribosomal RNA (427 nucleotides) under uncultured bacterium. Its description in RNAcentral is "partial 16S ribosomal RNA". It matches the Rfam family "Bacterial small subunit ribosomal RNA", at positions 355 to 774 of the family's 1533-position model. The record is from RNAcentral.
UGGGGAAUAUUGGACAAUGGGCGAAAGCCUGAUCCAGCCAUGCCGCGUGUGUGAAGAAGGUCUUCGGAUUGUAAAGCACUUUAAGUUGGGAGGAAGGGCAUUAACCUAAUACGUUAGUGUUCUGACGUUACCGACAGAAUAAGCACCGGCUAACUCUGUGCCAGCAGCCGCGGUAAUACAGAGGGUGCAAGCGUUAAUCGGAAUUACUGGGCGUAAAGCGCGCGUAGGUGGUUUGUUAAGUUGGAUGUGAAAUCCCCGGGCUCAACCUGGGAACUGCAUUCAAAACUGACUGACUAGAGUAUGGUAGAGGGUGGUGGAAUUUCCUGUGUAGCGGUGAAAUGCGUAGAUAUAGGAAGGAACACCAGUGGCGAAGGCGACCACCUGGACUAAUACUGACACUGAGGUGCGAAAGCGUGGGGAGCAAACA